RNAcentral lists this ribosomal RNA (301 nucleotides) under uncultured bacterium. RNAcentral's name for it is "partial 16S ribosomal RNA". It matches the Rfam family "Bacterial small subunit ribosomal RNA", at positions 509 to 807 of the family's 1533-position model. The record is from RNAcentral.
CAGUAGCCGCGGGAAUACGAAGGGGGCUAGCGUUGCUCGGAAUCACUGGGCGUAAAGGGCGCGUAGGCGGACUUUUAAGUCGGAGGUGAAAGCCCAGGGCUCGACCCUGGAAUUGCCUUCGAUACUGGGAGUCUUGAGUUCGGAAGAGGUUGGUGGAACUGCGAGUGUAGAGGUGAAAUUCGUAGAUAUUCGCAAGAACACCAGUGGCGAAGGCGGCCAACUGGUCCGAUACUGACGCUGAGGCGCGAAAGCGUGGGGAGCAAACAGGAUUAGAUACCCCAGUAGUCCCUGUCUCUUAUAC